AAGAGCUGAGUCCUGCUAAGUAGUGUUCGCUGCCUUCCUCUGUUAAUAUUCAAUGUCUUUAAGUUUGGACCAGAAAAUCCCUUUAGGACACAGCAAAUGGCUGCCCCUAGAAAUAUGCUUUCUGGAUAUGCUGAACCAGCUCAUAUCAAUGAUUUCAUGUUUGAGCAGCAAAGGAGAACUUUUGCAACAUAUGGUUAUGCAUUAGACCCUUCAUUAGAUAAUCAUCAAGUGUCUGCUAAAUAUAUAGGUUCUGUAGAAGAAGCUGAAAAAAAUCAAGGUUUAACUGUAUUUGAAACUGGUCAGAAG
Molecule: small RNA, 306 nt
Filed under: Pan troglodytes (chimpanzee)
Lineage: Eukaryota; Metazoa; Chordata; Mammalia; Primates; Hominidae
Description: processed transcript
Source: RNAcentral